ACACCGGACAUCCGGUGGCGUCGCGAACGCGGAAAUCAGCUAAACUACACACAGCUGGGAGCGAUUAAGGAGAGCGCCGGGUGAUUGGAGGAGAACAGCACCCAGGGAGUAUAAAAGGACAAGGCAAAACACAGUCUGGGCUGAUGUUAUCCACCGAUGUGUUGGUGUGUGUUGUAGUGCCGAGUUGAGCUCGCCUAAAUACGCUAUAUUCGGAUUAUUGUACUGCUCUCUCUCCCCGUAUGGAUUAUAGAUCGAUGGAAAGGAGGACAUCGAAGACCUUAAAGGUGAAGUACUAGUCGGACUCUGACAUUGUUUGAGGGAAACGGAAGGAGAGGAAAACUUACCACUGUGAGUACAUAUCUGUGGGAAAAGUGGUGUUUGUGGCUGGAGAACGCCCUGUCUAGCUGCCUGAGUUACUGUUGACAGGAAAACAACCUAGGACGAAGAAAGAUAGAGAUUGUGAGUAAACAAAACCUUGAAGUGAAUGUUGAUAUACAUAUCGGAUUGAUUCAUUGUUUGAGUGUUCUUAAGAGAGCGAUCGAGUGGCCCUACCCCUGGACCAGCGUGGUGGGUGAGCCGAAGGUUUCUGUGGGAAAGCAGCUACAGCAAUAACCGCAAACAAACGCUAGGCCAUCUACCAUCUCCCUAUUUCUCGCCCAGAGCGACGUGGAAGAGGACGGGUGUCUAUUGUGUGCACUGAGCGUGGUGGGAGUAGAGGCAGGAGAGAUCCGCCGGCCCGAGGUCUCGACGAAAGGGCGCCCCGGUCCAGUUUCGAUUGACCAACGGGUCUCGAGGAACGGGCAGCGUUCGACCCGGUGUGCCGGCGUGGUUCUCGCCCCUCUGUUCAUCAACGAGUUCGCCGAGAGGGUCCUGGCCCCCGGCGUCCCAGUACAAACCAUUGCUUCACCGCCGCAUUGCAGAAACUAGCCAGCGUAAGCCGCGACCCCUGUAAAUCUCUAUGUAUCUUGUUACGUCUGCUGAUUGACAGGAAAGCGAGUGAGUUGUGAGAACUGUGGAGAGAAAGAGAGAGCCAACGUGAACACAGAGAGAUUGAGCUUUGGAGAGAGCCAUACCUACCUGACAGCUGUAAUCAGCACAGAGGUGAGCGACGUCUUGAGAACGAUUCAUUGUGUCCUUGUAUCCUAGCAGCCAUCUGUGGAGAGAAAGAGAGCCAACGUGAACACUGAGAGAUUGAGCUUUGGAGAGAGCCAUACCUACCUGACAGCUGUAAUCAGCACAGAGGUGAGCGACGUCUUGAGAACGAUUCAUUGUGUCCUUGUAUCCUAGCAGCCAUCUGUGGAGAGAAAGAGAGCCAACGUGAACACUGAGAGAUUGAGCUUUGGAGAGAGCCAUACCUACCUGAAAGCUGUAAUCAGCGCAGAGCCAUCUGUGGAGAGAAAGAGAGCCAACGUGAACACUGAGAGAUUGAGCUUUGGAGAGAGCCAUACCUACCUGACAGCUGUAAUCAGCACAGAGGUGAGCGACGUCUUGAGAACGAUUCAUUGUGUCCUUGUAUCCUAGCAGCCAUCUGUGGAGAGAAAGAGAGCCAACGUGAACACUGAGAGAUUGAGCUUUGGAGAGAGCCAUACCUACCUGACAGCUGUAAUCAGCACAGAGGUGAGCGACGUCUUGAGAAUGAUUCAUUGUGUCCUUGUAUCCUAGCAGCCAUCUGUGGAGAGAAAGAGAGCCAUCGUGAACACUGAGAGAUUGAGCUUUGGAGAGAGCCAUACCUACCUGACAGCUGUAAUCAGCACAGAGGUGAGCGACGUCUUGAGAACGAUUCAUUGUGUCCUUGUAUCCUAGCAGCUAUCUGUGGAGAGAAAGAGAGAGCCAACGUGAACACUGAGAGAUUGAGCUUUGGAGAGAGCCAUACCUACCUGCCAGCUGUAAUCAGCGCAGAGGUGAGCGACGCUUUGAGAACGAUUCAUUGUGUCCCUGUAUUCUAGCAGCCACCUGUGGAGAGAAAGAGAGAACCAACGUGAGCAUCGAAAUAUUGAACUGUGGAAGGAGAAUAGGGAAGGCGAGUGAAUCAACGAGCAAGGACCUGUGGAAAGUAGGGGUGCACCGCAGUGCCCCGAGUCAAGGUACGACAACAGAGAAAGACCCAUACCAGCACUCAUCGUGUUUUUAUUCUGCCUCCAGGAAGGAAGAGGAGCGCGCCACGAGUAGAGGGAAACCGAGGCAGGAGCCCGUUCCCCCCACGUACGACCCCCCAAUUUUAGUCCUUCAUCUGGCCGUGGCCCCCUGGAGGGCAGAACUGAAAUUAGUUUUAACUUUCCCUUUCCCCAGUCCCCCCCCCUAUAUUUUAAUUAUUUAAUUCAAUAAAAAGAACAUUUUAUAUUUACUUGUGCUCGUUGUUGUCUGGUCAUUGGGUUGGUUUUGGGGACCUCCUCGAGGUGGAAGUUUAGAAGGGGCGUGGUUUUUACAACUAGUAGCCAGCCCCUG
Molecule: non-coding RNA, 2445 nt
Organism: Paramisgurnus dabryanus
Lineage: Eukaryota; Metazoa; Chordata; Actinopteri; Cypriniformes; Cobitidae
Source: RefSeq, a predicted model, not a curated record